AGAGUUUGAUCAUGGCUCAGGAUGAACGCUAGCUACAGGCUUAACACAUGCAAGUCGAGGGGCAGCAUGAUCUUAGCUUGCUAAGAUUGAUGGCGACCGGCGCACGGGUGAGUAACGCGUAUCCAACCUUCCCCUUAGUAGGGCAUAGCCCGUAGAAAUGCGGAUUAAUACCCUAUGUUUUCCAAUGAGGACAUCUGAGCUGGAACAAAGAUUAAUCGCUAAGGGAUGGGGAUGCGUCUGAUUAGAUAGUAGGCGGGGUAACGGCCCACCUAGUCGACGAUCAGUAGGGGUUCUGAGAGGAAGGUCCCCCACAUUGGAACUGAGCCAGGAUCAAACUC
RNAcentral lists this ribosomal RNA (338 nucleotides) under uncultured Prevotella sp. Its description in RNAcentral is "bacterial SSU rRNA". It matches the Rfam family "Bacterial small subunit ribosomal RNA", at positions 8 to 338 of the family's 1533-position model. The record is from RNAcentral. Lineage: Bacteria; Pseudomonadati; Bacteroidota; Bacteroidia; Bacteroidales; Prevotellaceae.